CCAAAACAAGCAUGCCGACCUGUGCGUUAAUCGCCAGUUUCGUGGCUGUGAGAAAAAAAAUUCCACAGUGGGAGAACCCGACCAGACGAUGGGGAUGGAACCAUAUCAGUCGCUGCAUAUCGGUCGUCUUUGAUUGAGCGACCCAAUCAGAGCGUUGCAAGCCUGCUGAUAGGCGGAAGUGGUUUUGGAUGGAUCGGCACUGCACUUCCAGAAGAUGGCGCUGUGGAGGAAAGAGUACAAGGGAGGAAAAACUCUUCAAAUGCCUGCUACCUUUGACUUUUUGUCGUGAAAAAUGGAUUGCACGGGUGCAAAGGAUGAGAGCUUCGUGGGUUCCAAAUGACAGCUCACGCGACGUCGAGUUCUACGUGAUGGCGAAUAGACGGGUCAACUCACGGCCUUGACAGACAAAGCUGCGUUGGCUGCUACAGUUCAGAUCGUUCCACCGGCCACCAUCUUUGAAUACAGCCGCAACGCAACCCUGACGCUUGCGAUAGCUCGGUUGCCGCGGUUUCCAGUAGCGGAACGACGACCGGCUCCCGUCGGACCACCCCCACGGAUCUCGGAAGAGGCCGAUCCACACGUUUUGAGCCGCGGACACGUUCCGGAUUGCCGUGUUCUCUUCUGCUGAGCCGA
Long non-coding RNA from Syngnathoides biaculeatus (alligator pipefish), 633 nucleotides. RefSeq lists it as uncharacterized. The transcript is spliced from 5 exons. NCBI's taxonomy places the organism in Eukaryota, Metazoa, Chordata, Actinopteri, Syngnathiformes, Syngnathidae. The record is from RefSeq and is a predicted model, not a curated record.